This 253-nucleotide ribosomal RNA is filed under the name uncultured bacterium. RNAcentral's name for it is "partial 16S ribosomal RNA". It matches the Rfam family "Bacterial small subunit ribosomal RNA", at positions 524 to 776 of the family's 1533-position model. The record is from RNAcentral.
UACGUAGGGGGCAAGCGUUGUUCGGAAUUACUGGGCGUAAAGGGCUCGUAGGUGGCCAACUAAGUCGGACGUGAAAUCCCUCAGCUUAACUGGGGAACUGCGUCCGAUACUGGAUGGCUCGAGUUUGGGAGAGGGAUGCGGAAUUCCAGGUGUAGCGGUGAAAUGCGUAGAUAUCUGGAGGAACACCGGUGGCGAAGGCGGCAUCCUGGACCAACACUGACACUGAGGAGCGAAAGCGUGGGGAGCGAUCCGG